UGCGUAGGCGGGCUAAUAAGUCAGUGGUGAAAUCUUCCGGCUCAACCGGGAACCUGCCAUUGAUACUGUUAGUCUUGAGUUCGGUUGAGGUAGGCGGAAUGUGUAAUGUAGCGGUGAAAUGCUUAGAUAUUACACAGAACACCAAUUGCGUAGGCAGCUUACUAGACCGACAGUGACGCUGAGGCACGAAAGCGUGGGGAGCGAACAGGAUUAGAUACCCUGGUAGUCC
Molecule: ribosomal RNA, 229 nt
Filed under: uncultured bacterium
Lineage: Bacteria
Description: partial 16S ribosomal RNA
Rfam family: Bacterial small subunit ribosomal RNA
Source: RNAcentral